GAGCCGUGACCCAUUCAUACGAGAGUGUAUUCCCCUCUUUAAUGUAUAUACAAUGUCUUGUGGUUCUCGCGAGAUCGUAUAUAAAUAGAGACCUACUGGUCUAGUUACACACCUCAUCAUCCAACCAACGAAGAAUAUAAUCACUAUAUACAAUCAUGAAGUACUCUGUGGCUAUUUUCACCGCUGUCAUCUCCGCUACCAUUCUCAUCAGCUGUGCUGACGUUCUGCACGCCCAACAGGUGAAGGAGCCAACUUGUGGUCCAGGUUUCGACCUGGUAACUAUCAAUGGAGAGUGCAAGUGCAGGUGCAGGACAACUAAUUGGUGUCCCAGUGGCCAGCUAUGGGACUCUGACAUCUGUGCCUGUAAACCCAUAUGCACAACGUCGUGUACCUCCCCUAAGGAACUGAACAGUAAUUGUCAGUGUGUCUGCCCAUCCAUGACAUGUCCUAGACUGUACCUUCCUAAUGCCAGCACAUGUAGAUGUGAAAAAAUAUGCUUUGGUUCCGUGGGCAUCUGUCCCCCCCAAUGAUCAGCUUGUGUCAUCUGUACUGAAUGAGUGAACUUGAUUAAUUGCAAAACGUAUAGAAAGAACGAACUUUUAAUUAGCCGGCUGCUUAGUAUUUCGAAUAGACUAUCGUAAUGUUGUAUAUUGUAUGACAUGUAUAUACAUGCAUGUAUGAAAUUCCGAAAUAUUUUUAUGCUCAUACAAAAUGGUGAUACUGUAAUAAACUUUGCAUAGCAUACAA
Molecule: long non-coding RNA, 747 nt
Organism: Halichondria panicea
Lineage: Eukaryota; Metazoa; Porifera; Demospongiae; Suberitida; Halichondriidae
Exons: 2
Source: RefSeq, a predicted model, not a curated record